GACGAACGCUGGCGGCGUGCUUAACACAUGCAAGUCGAACGGUGAAGCGCCUUCCUUUUUGGUGGGUGUGGAUGAGUGGCGAACGGGUGAGUAACACGUGAGUAACCUACCCCCUUCUUCUGGAUAACCGCAUGAAAGUGUGGCUAAUACGGGAUAUUCUGGGUCUGUCGCAUGAUGGGUCUGGGAAAGAUAUUGUUUCGGUGGGGGAUGGGCUCGCGGCCUAUCAGCUUGUUGGUGGGGUGAUGGCCUACCAAGGCGGUGACGGGUAGCCGGCCUGAGAGGGUGGACGGUCACACUGGGACUGAGACACGGCCCAGACUCCUACGGGAGGCAGCAGUGGGGAAUAUUGCACAAUGGGCGCAAGCCUGAUGCAGCGACGCCGCGUGAGGGAUGGAGGCCUUCGGGUUGUGAACCUCUUUCGCCAGUGAAGCAGGCCUGCCUCGUUUGUGGGUGGGUUGACGGUAGCUGGAUAAGAAGCGCCGGCUAACUACGUG
RNAcentral lists this ribosomal RNA (494 nucleotides) under uncultured bacterium. Its description in RNAcentral is "partial 16S ribosomal RNA". It matches the Rfam family "Bacterial small subunit ribosomal RNA", at positions 28 to 507 of the family's 1533-position model. The record is from RNAcentral.